This 455-nucleotide ribosomal RNA is filed under the name uncultured Sebacinales. RNAcentral describes it as "partial 18S ribosomal RNA". The stretch from base 110 to 396 matches the Rfam family "Group I catalytic intron". Rfam says of the family: Group I catalytic introns are large self-splicing ribozymes. Lineage: Eukaryota; Fungi; Basidiomycota; Agaricomycetes; Sebacinales. The record is from RNAcentral.
CUUGGUCAUUUAGAGGAAGUAAAAGUCGUAACAAGGUUUCCAUAGCUUAAGUCUAUGAAGAACAGCAAUGUUCCUUCCGCAGAGUACACUUGCAGAAGCCUUAGUGGCCUGAAAGGGUUUCACCAGCGACUCUAAACAAGUAGGUGGAUUAAAUGCUAGUCUCUUUGGAAGAGGCAACACUAUCAAAUUGCGGGAAGAUCCUGUCAGGUCCACAUCACCGCGGCUCACCGAAAGGUGCAGUGCAGCACCAGGCUAACAACCUUGGGUAUGGUAACAGCAUGUGGAAUAGGGAGAAUCUGCAGCCAAGCCCCACUUCUUGGGGUGCAGUUCACAGGCCAAAUGGUAGUGGGCACUCUGGUGCUUAAGAUAUGGUCGAGUCCCAAUUGCAAAGUUGGGUACAAGUACUCUGAUUGAUUACAUAGUUGUAAAUGCAAAUGUUCCGUAGGUGAACCUGC